AGCAGCCGCGGUAAUUCCAGCUCCAAUAGCGUAUAUUAAAGUUGUUGCAGUUAAAAAGCUCGUAGUUGAAUUUCGGGAUCAAUUUAUUGGUCGUGCAAUAGUACGUACUGGUAUUAUUGGUUCCUACCUUCUGAUGAACCAUGAUGUCAUUAAUUUGGUGUUAUGGGGAAUCAGGACUGUUACUUUGAAAAAUUAGAGUGUUUAAAGCAGGCUCACGCUUGAAUACAUUAGCAUGGAAUAAUGAAAUAGGACGUUUGAUUCUAUUUUGUUGGUUUCUAGGAUCGACGUAAUGAUUAAUAGGGAUAGUUGGGGGCAUUAGUAUUCAAUUGUCAGAGGUGAAAUUCUUGGAUUUAUUGAAGACUAACUACUGCGAAAGCAUUUGCCAAGGAUGUUUUCAUUAAUCAAGAACGAAAGUUAGGGGAUCGAAGACGAUCAGAUACCGUCGUAGUCUUAACCAUAAACUAU
This 465-nucleotide ribosomal RNA is filed under the name uncultured Glomus. RNAcentral describes it as "SSU rRNA". It matches the Rfam family "Eukaryotic small subunit ribosomal RNA", at positions 569 to 1040 of the family's 1831-position model. The record is from RNAcentral. Lineage: Eukaryota; Fungi; Glomeromycota; Glomeromycetes; Glomerales; Glomeraceae.